CAGUAGCCACGGUAAAACAGAGGGUGCGAGCGUUAAUCGGAUUUACUGGGCGUAAAGCGUGCGUAGGCGGCUUCUUAAGUCGGAUGUGAAAUCCCUGAGCUUAACUUAGGAAUUGCAUUCGAUACUGGGAAGCUAGAGUAUGGGAGAGGAUGGUAGAAUUCCAGGUGUAGCGGUGAAAUGCGUAGAGAUCUGGAGGAAUACCGAUGGCGAAGGCAGCCAUCUGGCCUAAUACUGACGCUGAGGUACGAAAGCAUGGGGAGCAAACAGGAUUAGAUACCCCCGUAGUCCCUGUCUCUUAUAA
This 301-nucleotide ribosomal RNA is filed under the name uncultured bacterium. RNAcentral describes it as "partial 16S ribosomal RNA". It matches the Rfam family "Bacterial small subunit ribosomal RNA", at positions 509 to 809 of the family's 1533-position model. The record is from RNAcentral.